This 792-nucleotide long non-coding RNA is filed under the name Helianthus annuus (common sunflower). RNAcentral describes it as "hypothetical non coding rna". Lineage: Eukaryota; Viridiplantae; Streptophyta; Magnoliopsida; Asterales; Asteraceae. The record is from RNAcentral.
UAAAAACCCAGUCAGAUCUCUUUCUCACACACAAACAUCACAACUUUUUAUCAAGAUCCCUUCUCUCUAACCCCUCCUAAACAUGGCCACCACCACCAUCGAUUGAGAAGAAGAUAGGGCGGCUGGGAAUCAACUGCUACUACUUUACCAGAGAAGAUCUUUCAAUCAUCUACACCACCGCAGAUCUAGCUGGGCAGUGUUUAUGCUGGUGACAGCGAUGUUAAACCCUAGCCACCCUUACCCCUCUAGAUUCGAGAGAGAGAGAAAUUCCAUAGAGAGAGAGAGAGAGAGAGCUGCGAGAUGAUGUUGGUGGUAGUUGUUCUUGAAUCUGAGCAAAGGGGCGGCGACGGAGUUAGGGGCGGCAGGGGCGGCGGAGUUUAAGGUGUUGACAGCGGUGUUAGGGUGGUGGAUGAGUUGAUGUUGGUGGUAUGUUUAUGAGAAGCUUGUUCAAAAGGGGAAAAGACUUGGUUUCUUCCGCUUGCUGGCAACACAGCUGUAUGGCAAGGUUUAUAUCCAGGUUGAUUUAAGUUCUUCAAUUUUUAGUGGUUGUAUAGAUCUAAAACAAAUGAUGAGAUGAUGUUGUUGGUGGUGGUGGUGGUUGUUAUGAAGAUGAAAUUCAAAGAUAAGGUUUGAAGAUGGUGUUUAAGAUCGAAUUUAUGAUGAUGUUCAUGUUUCAUAAUUUAUAUUCUUUAUUUUGAAGAUAUCAUAUUCAUAUUUUAUUGCAGAUGUUUAUUGUUUGAAGAUGUUCAUAUUGUUCAUUUGAAGAUAUUUUUUUCUGGGUUUUGAUGAUGU